UGAUGGAUCAGACAAGUGAGAGACAGGAAGCAGACUAUAAUGUUGUGUUAUGUUAGGUUAUUAUAAAGAUCAUGUCUUGCUUGAAGAGGAUGAUAAGUUAGGGAGAAUGAAAACCCAUCUAACGAUUCUGUCUCUUUUCACUGUUUUGACCAGCGUUCUGAUGAAGUCUGGAGAUGUUUUUGAGGGAACAGUGGGUGAAAAGGUGGAGAUCAGAUGUCCAUAUCCAGAUGAUUACAGAUAUAUUCCCAAGUACCUUUGCCAGCAUCCAUGUGGAUCAUCAGGGCAUGUUUUGAUUAAAAGUGAAAAGUCUGAUCAGGUCGUCACUGAAGGAAGAUACUCUUUGAUUGAUAAUGUGAGUGGAAGGUUCUUCACUGUAACCAUCAGGAAUCUCAGACUCAAAGACUCUGGUGUUUAUUACUGUGGAGUUGAUCAAUGGUUCAGAGACACAUUGAAGAAAGUUAAUCUCUCUGUCCGUCAAGCAACUCCUGUGAACAAACCUUCAAACACCUCUGAAAAGACAAUUACAACUACAUCUACAUGGACAACAACAACACUCACCUCUGCAAUAACUCUACUUCUUGUGAGCAGUUCUCACCAACAGUCAAGUCAAAGGCAGAAUCGUUUUGUAUGAAUUUCUUUGUGUAGCGUGUUCAUACCAGAUUUUUUAAUAAUGACUGUCCUAACAUGUUUACAUGCCUAACAUGCUACAGCAAACUUAAUAAUAACAUUUUGUCUUUCUCUUUCUAUUUCAGUCAGCGUGGCUGUGGUGUGUGCAGGUGUUCUGGUGCUGCUGGUGUUUGGGGUUCUUGUGGCUGUAGUGUUUCUCUGUAGGAAAAGAUCACACUCAACGUCCAGAUGUUUGAACGGUGCCGUUCCUGAAAAUUCAGUUCAAGAUUCAGCAGAUCUCAACCGGACUGUAGAUGAUGUCCAUCACAUCUACGAUGAAAUGGUGACCGAGAACAGCCUGGCUGGUCCAGCUAGAGAUGCCAACUCUUCUGUAAUAUAUUCCACCGUGCAGCACUGUGGUCCUGCACC
RNA transcript from Rhinichthys klamathensis goyatoka, 1035 nucleotides. It is a transcript of the gene named CMRF35-like molecule 1, with no coding region annotated. Lineage: Eukaryota; Metazoa; Chordata; Actinopteri; Cypriniformes; Leuciscidae. The transcript is spliced from 6 exons. The record is from RefSeq and is a predicted model, not a curated record.